CCCAAAUGCAGAUGGUCAGCUCCAAAUUCACUCUUACAAACAUCAGAGCAAACAGCAACUAUACCACUCUAAAAGGUAAGUGUGGAAAGCCCUUAGUUCGUUAAACUCUUUAGCCACUAGGUGGCAAAAACAAAUCAACCAGCCAUACAAUGGUUUGCAUGUAAAAAGUUCCAGGUUCAAUCCCUGUUAUCUCUGGCUAAACAAAUGAGGAUGGGAAAUACCAUCUAAAUAACAGUUUGUCUCAAGACAUCCUUUUCCACUACAAAGCAAAAGAUCAGUUUUUUAAAACAAAAACAAAAACCCACACCUCUCCCAAAGUUCUUAAAAUGAGUAUCACUAUUCAAAUUUUCUUGCAGCUUACUUUGUUGUUGUUUUAUCCACCCAUCAUGAGCAGGUCCCAUGAUUUAAAAUUGAGAGUAAAAACAAAACAAAAAAACCAGAUUAAAAAUAGAUUCUAGUCACAGGCCCUGAAAACACACAUCUCAGGUGUCAAAAGUCAGGGUAUAGAACCAUAGAACUGUAGAGUUGGAAGGGAUCCUGAGGUUCAUCUAGUCCAACCCCCUGCAAUGCAAGAAUCCUGCCCAUAGCCUUCACUGGGUGGGCUGGAACAACCAAUCCUCUUUUUAGCAGCCAGGGGCACUGACUCAUUGCGCCACAGGGAGGUGUGGCUUCAGCAUUUGCUGAAAGCUGUAUAGUGAAGAAGCCAGGUGAUCCUUUGAAAGGAAGGAACCCUAUAACUUGGGGGCUGCCACAGAAAAUGCCCUCUCUCAGGACACCCAAACUUCUGAGGAAGGUUUAACUACCAAGAGGACCCCUCUACUGCUCUUAAUAUUUAGGAGGUUUCCUAGGGAGAAAUUCAAUUCUGUUUGCAUUUAAAGGCAAAUCUAGCAAUUUUGGAGUGUUCCAAAAAAUAUGUGAGCUGAAACAUAGCUAUAGGACAUCAGAAUCUACGUUUUUCUGAAUUUUGCAGUGCUACUUUCAAGCCAAGUAAGGUGUACCAAAAUUUGUGUGCUGGGGUAAGAUGUGCAUUAAAAAUGCACAUGUUAGUGGAAAAUAAACUGAUGCCAAAUUGAAUUUAAGUCAGAAACAAGCAACGUAGUAAGCCAAAACUGACAGAUUCACUCAUCUCUACCUUCUGCUGAGUGAUUGUCCUCCAAACUAUGACCAGAACACAUGGUCUGAAUGAAGUGGCUUUCUCAUUCUGGUUUGGAGGGCAAGGGCUGCUGCUAUUGAAUCCGAUGACAUCUAAAUAGAAAAUGGAGUGGGAAGCGGAAUUAGAAAACCAUAGAAUCUUAGAAUGGUGGAUCUGGAAGGGAUCCCCCCAAGGGUCAUCUAGUUCUACUCCCUGCAGUGCAGGAAUCCUGCCCACAGCUGUCCCUGGGUGGGCUCAAACCUCCAAGCUUCUGGUUAACAGCCAGACACACUGACCCAUUGAGAGAAGGAAGGAGAGGGGGUGCAAUCUGAUGGUUAAUUUAUGGUCCUCAGCAUCAUUUGGCAAAACACACUUUUCACCUACAUCUCAUGGUCUAGAAGAGGACCACUUGAAUUGGGCAACCGUGGCAUAAAUCAAGCCUAAUAUAUCAACGGCUAUUAGACAUGAUAACUAAAUGGAACCUCCACCUUCAGGAGCAACAUAGCUUGAAAUGCCAGCUGCGGGGCUGCAGACAGGGGUUGUUGAUUUCAUGCCCUGUCCCUGGGCUUUCCAGAAGCAUCAGGCCGGCCACGGUUGGAAACAAGACACUGGACUAAAUGGACCUUUAGUAUGAUCAAUCUAGCAGGGCUUUUUAUGUGCAAGAAACAUCAGCCUUAAUUUCAGCUGAAGCCAUAGUGGAAAUAAAUUGCUCGGAUUUAGCGUUGUGGAAAUUAUCACAUGCAAAUGGAACUUUCACAGUUGAGAUUUUGAGUGUUUGUGAAAUAGAAACAAUUUGACAUGCAAAUUUUUUUUGGGGGGGGAUAUUCAUUACACUUCUCAUUUAAAUCUAAAAGGAAGCAUAACACCUGAAUAUAUUUGAACAAUAAAUCAUUAGCUGCAUAAAUACGAUAUACCUAAGGAGGGGGAAAGACAGAAAAUCUCUUUCAAGCUUUUAAAAAUUGCCAUAACAUUCCAAUAUUCUAAAGUACAGCCUCCCAGAUUUCUCCCAGAUUAGCCUCCCUUUCAGAGUUUCCCUUGUUGUUCCCUUCUGAGAUAGGCUGCUGAAUACUCCCUUCAUCAUUCCUUGAGAUGUUUUCCAGCUUCUUUUCAGUGGACUGUGGGCAGGACUGUGCAUUCUCUGAACUAGAAAAGAAGACAGGCAGAUAGAAAGAAAGAAAGCAAGAGAAUUCCAUGUCAAGAAAGUAAUGUUAGAACUUGUCUGAUGUGAUCCACAGGAAAGCAGAACAAUGUUGAACACCACUCCUAAACACUGCCAUGCAGUAGGAAGACCCCAGGGGGUUCCAGGUGGUCACCCAGGGUUGUGUUGGCGUUGGGAAAACCAAGGCACACAUAUUUACACCUGGAGUCUUCAAGUGGAGGGGCUACAGAACAUGAUACCCCAAGAGUGUCUCUUAUUGCCCCUCUCACAGCUUCUGCAAGCUUGGGUCCAAACCAGCAGUCAGUCAUGGCUCCUGGGCUCUUGGUGCAGCCUCCUCCAGCCACAUGUCAAAACUGUACACACCUGGUUUAAUCACCGCAUAAGUCUUGUCUAAAGAGAGCGAUCGAUCACAUGAUGUACCAAGGCUAUCUUGUGAAUUCAGUGGCUGUGUCUUUCCCAAGUGUCAGUUGGCAUGUUCAGUCGGGCUUUGUCACUGUGGACUUGCUAGCCUCUCUUAGUAGUGACACACAGAGUAGUAAUGGAAAUUUCAUUGCAAUGCGAACCUCCAUUGCAAAAAAAUUUCUUCAGUGUAUGACGUAAUGAACAUCUUUAGCACUUAAAGGUGAUGUGCAAACCUGCAGGGUAUGAAUGAAUGCCAAGGAUUUCUGAAAAGGCUGGUUUUACUGCCAACAUUUUUUUAAAAAAAUCCUUGCAGUUUAUAUUAAUAAGGCUGGAUGUUAUUGCAUGUCAAAAGUUAUUGUGAUUUAUAAAGUAUUCCUCAUCUAGUGCAUAAUAAAAAUACUUGGCUCUCAAAUCCAAUAACUAACAGAUGAUAGUAGCUUUAUCUUCAAUAUUUAACAUGACCUGGAACUUUCUGUCAUAUCUGAUGACAUUCUGCUAUAAUAUUUUUUUUCUACUAGUAUUUUAGAUUGCUUGAACUACUACAGAACAAGGAGACAUCAGGAGGGAGGGAGGUAUAGAUUCUAUAUUAUUUUAUCUCAGGCCUUGAAAAUGUUGGCAGGUGCCAACAAUUAAUUAAAAAUACCGAUAAUAUUCCUUGUUCAGUGUCACUUGGCAUAUUCUUGUAUUUAGGAAGCCCCAGUAUUUAACAACAGCAUAACACACACACACACACACACACACACACACACAAUGCAAUAAGGAGUUUUACUUUGUAGAAAUUCUUAAAUGCCUUUAUGAACUACUAGUGGCCCACAAUACAUUUUCAGGUACCAGUAAUUCUUGUGACUAGGAAAUUAUGGGAGGCCUUUUGUAUGGCAGUGAACUGACACACACUAAUUUAAAACACCAGCAUGAACUCACGAGGUGGGGCUGGAUUGGGGCAAGCAAGUACCAUGCAUUUCCAAUGACCCACAAUGAUUAAAUUUUAAUAAAUUACUAACCUUCCUGACAGAGCACCAUCUGAUAUGUCUCAUUCAGUUCAAUGGGACUUACUCUCAGCUCAGAGUGCAUGGGAUUGCAAUUGAAAUGCACUAUAUAGCCAGGCCAUUGGUUGGUGUGCGCCUUUGUCCUCCUGGUGUUUACCUUUCUUUCUUCCACCACUUUAAAAAAUAUGUAUAUUACUGUUUUGCAAUAGCAAGUACAAACCAAACCAUACAACAACAAAAUAAAACAAACUGUGGAGUACUACAAUAUUGACUGAAGCACUUUAACUUAGGCCCAAAAAUGCACUAGCAACCAAUGAAACUAGUACAAUAUAGGUAUUGCAUUCGCCAACGUCAACUGCCCUGGAAAAAAUGGGACACCUCGUGAGAGUUAAGCAGCCAAAAUUUCAGGCUGUGCUUUCUUCGGUCAUGGUGCCCUAAAACACACAUUUUUGGGCACUGCACCAAAAAUGCACAUUUUCUGUGCCCAGAAAAAUCACUUUUUGAUGGGCUGCAAUCUCACACAGGUCAUAUGACUUGUGCAAGAAUGCCGCCCUGGAAGAUGGUGUCCCAGUUUUGGACCACUUCACGUUGGAAAGGAUGCUCCAACUGCCUGGCUUCCACCAACAUCCCAGCAUUUUGCACCAGUUGACCAUCUUCCAGACCAUCUCUAUAUCUUUAUGUUUACCCCACUUCUCCAUCAUAUUUAUUUUCUUUGGGGUGCUGGCUUCUAUAGGUGAUAACCAUAAAGGUGUUGUCCUUUCCAAUAAAUCUUGAUAUCUGCUCCAUACUCCAUAUAUUCUUCUUCUUCUUCUUAUGCAAUGAUUUAAAAAUUCUUUGUGUAUUUUUACCUUAUCAUAUCAUAAAUAGGCAUGCUACCCAUCAGCAAGGAGACUCUUAUGGGGGUAAAAAUAAUUCUUCUGUAUGUUAAGUUACAAGACCUUACAUCAUCUGACAGCAUUCCCUGGGCUGGCAAUAAAGUGUGUAAAAAAAAAGUGCGUAAAAAAGCAGGAGGAAGGAUUCACAGCUUCUAAACACAGGUCUGCCUCUCACGCCUGUGUGACAUCUCCACCCUUUGCCUGAAAGGGGACAAGAAGCAGAAAAGGGUGUCAGAAACUCAACACAUAGCAAGCAGAAAAACAGUUCUCCAUGCAUGACCCAUUUUUAUUAUUAUUAUUAUUAAUUUUCUUUAUUUCCCCCCACACACCUUUUCCCCAGACAGGGACUCCAAAGGCACUAAAAAGUCAUGAUGCCCUAGACUAGCAACUUGAAAGAACACACUGAAGACAAAUAUGCAUCCCAAACAGGAACCUGCUAAAGUUUUAACAAGUAUUGAGACAAGGAGUGCCAGCAGGACAGUAAACAGAGAGCUGCCAACAGUUCCCAUAACAACGUGAUUUCCAGUGUGGAUUUGUUUUGUGUACAGCUUGAUUUGAAGCACAGAAACAUUAUUUCAUGUGCUAAUGAUAAAGG
This 5149-nucleotide long non-coding RNA is filed under the name Podarcis lilfordi (Lilford's wall lizard). The record is from RNAcentral. Lineage: Eukaryota; Metazoa; Chordata; Lepidosauria; Squamata; Lacertidae.